Molecule: non-coding RNA, 27 nt
Filed under: Homo sapiens (human)
Lineage: Eukaryota; Metazoa; Chordata; Mammalia; Primates; Hominidae
Source: RNAcentral
UUCGCUCUACUCAGACCUUCAACAGAU